This 437-nucleotide unclassified non-coding RNA is filed under the name Hevea brasiliensis (rubber tree). The record is from RNAcentral. Lineage: Eukaryota; Viridiplantae; Streptophyta; Magnoliopsida; Malpighiales; Euphorbiaceae.
GCAUAUAUAUGGUAAAAAAAAAAAGGUGACAUUUAUUAUGUACUCUUGAAGCAACUUUGGAAAUCCAAUAAGCAAAUACAUUGGAAUUUAACUUUUUCUAUACUGUCUUCCCUUUGGGUAAAAAAGAUAAUAAGCAUGUACUGUUAGGAGCGAAUAAUGAAAAGAAUCUGGAAUCAGAAGCAAAAACAAGAAGAAUGAUUAUGUAAAACUGUAGAACCCUAGGUUCUUGCACUUCAGUAAACCUAAGUUAUAACCAACAAAAACCAAACACGGCCAUAAAGCUGAAUCCCUAAAUUAGAGAACAAAAAUAUAAAAUUGCGAAAAAUCCAAAAGAAAAAUAUGGCUUGCAAGUUGGUCCUUUCCAGCAAAGGCCUGGAUCACAAUUAGGACUCAAUGUUUUAUUGUAGUGGUGAAGAUGUUCAUAAUGAAAGCACCAG